UGAUGUGGUCUUGUGUCUUGUCUCAUCUGUCAAAAAAUAGUACAGUAGGCCUACGGGUGCAAAAUUCAUAUUUAAAUCUAAAACUAGUUUCAAAGAAAAACAUUCCAUUUUUUCAUUAUCUACGGUAUAUUCAUAUAUUAUUAAAUUCUUAUCCUGACAUCAGGGCUAGAGAAUUUUUAGAAAUGCGAUUAGUUAUUUUGGAUAAACCCAACGAUGUAGCUGAAUGGGCAGCCAAGUAUGUGAUGAAAAGAAUCAAAGAUUUCAAUCCCGGUCCUGAAAAAUUCUUCACGCUUGGUUUACCCACUGGUGGAACCCCUCUGGGCAUGUACAAAAAAUUGGCCGAAUAUUACAAAAAUGGAAAAAUUUCAUUCAAGUAUGUGAAGACCUUCAAUAUGGAUGAGUAUGUGGGUCUGCCACCCGAUCACGUUCAAAGCUACCACUACUACAUGUUUCAUAAUUUCUUCAAACACAUUGACAUAGACCCCAACAACGUUCAUAUACUUGAUGGCAAUGCCAGCGACCUGGAGAAAGAGUGUGAUGAUUAUGAACACAAGAUCAAAGAGGCUGGAGGAAUUAGGCUUUUUAUUGGAGGUAUUGGCCCAGACGGUCAUAUAGCCUUCAACGAGCCUGGAUCUUCACUGGUAUCUAGGACUCGGGUGAAAACGCUGGCUCACGAGACACUGGAAGCCAAUUGUCGUUUCUUCGAUAAUGACAUCACAAAAGUGCCCACUCAAGCACUCACUGUUGGAGUGCAGACUGUUCUCGAUGCAGAUGAUGUGCUAAUCCUGAUAACGGGCUCAGGCAAGGCAUUGGCACUCCACCACUGCAUCGAGCAGGGCGUCAACCACAUGUGGACUGCAUCAGCCUUCCAGCAACACAAGCACACCAUCAUGAUUUGUGACGAGGACGCCACUCAAGAGCUCAAGGUCAAAACUGUCAAGUAUUUCAAGAACUUGAACAAGAUACAUGAGAAACUCAUUGAGGAAUAUGAGAGUAAGAGAAAAUCAUCAAUUAUGCUCGAUAACUGUGCAAAAUGAACUGUGUGAGAAUGCUGACUUUGUGGGAUCUAACAAUUUUUCAUCCAUUUUCAUGAGUCUGAGAAAGCCCUGACCUCUCACAAAAACUGAGACUGCAAGACAAUAAUAUCACAAUUUAUUUUUCUUCAUCAAGGACAACAUAUAUAUAUAUUUUCUAUCUGUGAUUUGAACCAAAAUUCGACUAACCAAAAUACUUGAAUCAAAUAAUUUUCGCAUCAUAUGAUCUAUCAAAUGUUAUUUAUAUUUAAUCGAGUACAGUAUAAUUAUUAUAUAUUUUAUAUUUUAAUCAAGUACAAGAUAUUGUAUUGAGAAGGAACAUUAUAUUUUCAUAUUAUAACUUUAUAAGUAAAAUUUAGCUUUAUGUGGGGAGAAUGAGAGAUUCAUCUAUAUCAAAAAAUUGAUAUUUUUAUAAAAAAAUUUCAAUCAAUAUCUGAUAAUACUUAUGGAUAUUUUAUAAAUUGUUGUUUUAAUAAAAUUACAUUAUCCACUUUAAGCGUAUCAGACUAUCAUUAUUCAUCUCAAUAUUGUUUUAUUAUUUAAGUUAAUCAAUGAAUGAAAAUAGUAUUAGUUAAAAAAGGGUACUAUGGGAUUAUUUUUAAAACUUGUUUUCAUAUUUUAACAGAUCAAGUAGCCCUAAUCUAAUGAAAUACGUUAUUAGAAAAUAGUAUUAUGUAAUUUUUAUUGUAUGUGAAGCUAUGUAACAGUUUAUUCCAUUAGAAGCUCAUAUCACAUAAACAAUUACAUGUUCUAUUCAUAUUUAUGAAAUAAAUAGGUAUUAUAACAUUUUCAAAUGAAAUAUCUUCAUAGAUAUUGAGCUAAACAAAACUUCAUAAAGAUCAAUACAAUAAAAAUUAAAAAAAGUUCAAAUUCAAUAUUUUUUUAUCUUUGCCUUCUUUGGUAGGAUUGAAUAGCCUAUGAUGUGAUGUGUAUUAAAUGCAAUGAGUAAUAAUAAAAUGACUGAGUAAUCUGGGUCCAUUAGGAAAGUAUCAUUUCUUAUAAAGGAAAAAAGUCCGAAAUUAAUUCAUUUAAAUGCAGUUGAUAUAUAAGAAUUCACUACUAAUAAUAUAUUGAGUAACCUCCUAAAUUAACCUCAUUUUGGAUAAUAAAUAAACGUGACUUAACAAUUCUUGACAA
Nilaparvata lugens (brown planthopper) is the source of this 2171-nucleotide RNA transcript. It is a transcript of the gene named glucosamine-6-phosphate isomerase, with no coding region annotated. Lineage: Eukaryota; Metazoa; Arthropoda; Insecta; Hemiptera; Delphacidae. The record is from RefSeq and is a predicted model, not a curated record. The transcript is spliced from 8 exons.